Long non-coding RNA from Pogoniulus pusillus (Red-fronted tinkerbird), 1725 nucleotides. RefSeq lists it as uncharacterized. The record is from RefSeq and is a predicted model, not a curated record. Lineage: Eukaryota; Metazoa; Chordata; Aves; Piciformes; Lybiidae. The transcript has 4 exons.
GGACGCCCCCUACCGACCCCGCGGCAGCGGCCGGAGCCCGUCGGCGGGGCGGGGCGCGGCGGGGCACAUCCCUCCGCCGCUCCCCACACCGCCCGCUCGCUGCCGGCCGGGGCGCCCUGAGGCGGGGCAGGUGGCGUGUCUGGCCGCCAUGUUGGGUCUCUGAGGAGAAGCGGUGUUGAGGUGUGAGGCGGUGCUGUGAGAGGGCUGCAUACACAGCUGUCAGAGCCGCCGUGAGGGGAAGGGACGUGGAGGCUCUUGCCAUCUUGUCAUCAGGGAAGUGCCAAGGAAGAGCUGCUGAACCCUGCAAGAGCUGCUCCUGCACACUGGAUGCUCUAGGUCCAUGGUGUUCUGUCUGAAGCUCAGAAAAAAAAUCAAGAAAGUCCCAUCAUCUUCUGUAGAGUUUCUGCUGCUCUGUUUCUUGAGGAGAGGGAGGAAGCAGGAAGGGAAGAAUUAUGGUUAUGUUGCUCAAAGUGAUCAAGAAGUAAUUGAAUUAACUGGAAAAAAAAAGGAUAAGAUAAAUUACUAAGAAGAAUUAACUGUGUGCACCUGAGGUCAGAAGGCUCCUAGCAAAUUCAAGGAAUUACUGCAUGGCUGAGAGUCAGCCUCUGAAAUUCUCAAAAAGCUCAUGAAAAGAACUGCUGUGUUUCCUUUGGAAAAACUGGAUGGCAGCAUAAGGAGAGGGAAAAAAAGUGUUAGAAUGCAUUACAGCUUUACUGGGGUUUGGAAAUAUAAGAGAGUUUAGGAUGUACCUAUUGCUGUCACAACUCAAGUUGGAGAGGGAAUUCAUUUGGGGAUAAACUUAAUGUGUUGUGACCCACUGCAAGGGCAGUUCAGCAAUGGAAAAUUGUGGGUGGAAAAUCAUGAGGCUUUCCUUGAGAAACAAUGACAUUCCUCACAAGUUAGUAGUGUACAAUAAAUAAGUUUGAUGAAAUGACUUUUGGGAUCACCUUCAGAGUUGAGGAAAUGCUAUUUGAUGUGCUUAGCCAAGGGGGCACAGGCAUGAAUGAGAGUUUGUAUGGGCCUUGGUGAACAAUACUAACCUGUAAAAUUAGACCAAAAAAAAAAAAAGAGAUGGCUUUCCCGAAAGCUGCUGGCAGAGUAAGGAUGCUGAAGUAGCAAGGCUGCUGACCAGCAAUUCCUGCACUCUUAACUGUUUGCCAAAAUGUAAUUUAAAUUUUCUUCUAUACCAUCAAAGGCUGAAAAUAGGAAAAAAUAAAACAAAACAUACUGGCCCAGUAUAGAGCAAGUUGUUCCCUGAUCCUAAACCCACUCCGCAGUCACCAGUGCUGCUCUUUGCAAUCCUUUCUCUUGAGUAAAUGGGAAUCAGAAUUAAUUAAACAGCAAGUAAGUUACUUCGAAGUACAUCCAGACUUGAAAAGGCUACCUUGCUCUUUUUACUUUGUAUGACAGAGUAUAUGUUUAAUUGAAAAAACAACCAACCAACAAACAUUCAAGGCAUGAGCUUCCAUCCUUUUGCCCUCUUCAGUCUUCUUUUUCAACACAAAGUAUCUUUUUGAGUCAGAGGAAGUAGUUAUAUCAUAUUUUCUCCAUCUCCACCUUGUCUGUUGUGUUACAGGUUAUUAGAAGUAGGGGGGAAAAUGAACAGUUCUGUAGCCUGUACAUCUCAUCACUUGUAAUCUGCACACACUGAAAAGCAAACUGGGGUGUUCUUGUGAAAUGUCUUUAUGUCAAAUAAAGGAAGAAAUGCUCAUCUUGUUUCAGGAA